Molecule: non-coding RNA, 114 nt
Organism: Acanthosepion pharaonis
Lineage: Eukaryota; Metazoa; Mollusca; Cephalopoda; Sepiida; Sepiidae
Source: the annotation of a GenBank genome assembly
UUAUGGUCAUAUCACAUUGAAACAUUGGUUCUCGUACGAUCCCCGAAGUUAAGCAACGUCAAGCCUGGUCAAUACCCAGAUGGGUGACCGCUUAGGAAUACCAGGUACUGUCAG